UGCAGCGGUGCGGAUGAUCGCCACAUGCGGUGUGUUAAGCAACUCGAGAAAGCUUUGCUAGGUGCAAGUGUUACUGCGAGGCAGUGCCGAAAAUACAAAGGCAGCGCCGAAAAACACAGCUGGUUGAUGACAGCUCUGAAACAGCAGUCCUGCCUCUCUUCAAUAUCUGAAGAGCACAUUAUGCCAUCAAGACAAUGCUCACUGCUGAAACAACACCACACGUUAACAGCAAGCGGAAGAGUAAGGUAUCUGCAGUUCAAGCAGUGCAAAGGUGUUCCUUCUAGAUCGGAUGGAGCUUGGAAGUAUUUCAAGAGGUUGUAGCUCAGGUGCCCAUGAGCCAAAGGGCCUUCAUUGUUGAAAAAGAUGUGUCGCCGGCAGACGCUGCUGUGCAAGGUGCUGCUUCUAUUGUUCUUGCGCCAGCUGUCACCCAUCACGCGGGCACCACUACGACUGGUUUUGCCACAAGCGCCUUGGUGUCCUGAUGUCGCACGGAAUUGUUGUGUGACCACAUCGUCAGCAAAGUAUGAAGCAUCAUCAUUUCCACCUCAUCCCCCCUCGCAAUUCUGGAUGGUGCAGCGUUCUCCAUUCAGCAAGAUGGAACAGUCAGGUGACCAAGC
Long non-coding RNA from Rhipicephalus sanguineus (brown dog tick), 617 nucleotides. RefSeq lists it as uncharacterized. The transcript has 4 exons. NCBI's taxonomy places the organism in Eukaryota, Metazoa, Arthropoda, Arachnida, Ixodida, Ixodidae. The record is from RefSeq and is a predicted model, not a curated record.